RNAcentral lists this unclassified non-coding RNA (253 nucleotides) under uncultured Rickettsiales bacterium. RNAcentral's name for it is "contains 16S-23S intergenic spacer region". It matches the Rfam family "Bacterial small subunit ribosomal RNA", at positions 524 to 776 of the family's 1533-position model. The record is from RNAcentral. Lineage: Bacteria; Pseudomonadati; Pseudomonadota; Alphaproteobacteria; Rickettsiales.
UACGGAGGGUGCUAGCGUUGUUCGGAAUUACUGGGCGUAAAGCGUGCGUAGGCGGCCCAUUAAGUCAGACGUGAAAGCCCCGAGCUCAACUUGGGAAUUGCGUUUGAUACUGAUGGGCUAGAGUUCUAGAGAGGUAAGUGGAAUUCCUAGUGUAGAGGUGAAAUUCGUAGAUAUUAGGAGGAACACCAGAGGCGAAGGCGGCUUACUGGCUAGACACUGACGCUGAGGUACGAAAGCGUGGGGAGCAAACAGG